CAGAGACAACACCGCUUCCUUUUCCGGACCGUGAUAUUCAAGAUGAAAGCCACGUCGAAGUCCUGCGCACCAACUUGACUAAUUCAUUCAAUUCAAGAAAUACAAAUGAAUGCAGCAGCUUUUUACGCAAAGCUAGCACACCGGGCCAAACCACCUCCUGUUGAGAGUGCUCUCAGUGAGAGUGAGGGCAGCGAUGAGGAGUACAAUCCUAAUAAAGCAAGUGAAGGUGAUGAAAGCAGCAGCAAUGACUCUACAGUGGACAUUAGCAGCAGUGAGGAAGAUGAUGAUGAUCCGCCUCAUCCACCUCCAACCACCAGUGCUGCACCUGCAAGACCUUCAAGAGCUACAUCAAGGGCAGAUCGAGCCUAAAGCAAUAUAUCCAAAAAAAAGCCAUACAAAUUGGGAUACAAGAUUUUUGUACUGUGCGACAUAAGAGGUCUGGUGCACUCAUUUGACAUAUUCACAGGGAAAAUAGAUCCGGUACCAGGCCAACCAGACAUAGGAGCCAGUGGUAACAUUGUGCUCAAGCUUGCACAAGUCAUUCAUCCUGCUGUUCUUUGAUAACUGGUUCUCAUCUGUAGAUCUGUUUGUUGCUCUUGCAAAAAAGGGCAUACCUGCACUUGGGACCGUGCAGCACAAUCGCCUGCGUGGGUGCUGUUUCAGUGCAGACUCAUAGAUGAAGAAGAAGCGAAGAGGGACAUUUGAAGAGCAAGAGGCUCUUGUGGACAAUGUCUGCAUAAGAGCAGUCAAAUGGUUUGACAAUAGAGGGGUGAUUGUUGCCAGCACAUUUGCCAGUGCCCUGUCUGUUAUGAUAAAAAUCAUCUUUUAUUUAUUUAUCUACAUCAUAUGUCUUCUAGUCUGAUUAAAAAUGUGAUGUACAUCUGUGUUUAAACAAAAACAAUAAUUGUUUUUCAGAAUUUCACAAGCAGUGAAAAAAGAUGUUGCGAUAAAAGUGUGUUCAGACCUGA
Long non-coding RNA from Corythoichthys intestinalis (scribbled pipefish), 968 nucleotides. RefSeq lists it as uncharacterized. The transcript has 3 exons. The record is from RefSeq and is a predicted model, not a curated record. Lineage: Eukaryota; Metazoa; Chordata; Actinopteri; Syngnathiformes; Syngnathidae.